GAUGAACGCUGGCGGCGUGCCUAAUACAUGCAAGUCGAACGCACAGCGAAAGGUGCUUGCACCUUUCAAGUGAGUGGCGAACGGGUGAGUAACACGUGGACAACCUGCCUCAAGGCUGGGGAUAACAUUUGGAAACAGAUGCUAAUACCGAAUAAAACUCAGUGUCGCAUGACACAAAGUUAAAAGGCGCUUUGGCGUCACCUAGAGAUGGAUCCGCGGUGUAUUAGUUAGUUGGUGGGGUAAAGGCCUACCAAGACAAUGAUGCAUAGCCGAGUUGAGAGACUGAUCGGCCCCAUUGGGACUGAGACACGGCCCAAACUCCUACGGGAGGCUGCAGUAGGGAAUCUUCCACAAUGGGCGAAAGCCUGAUGGAGCAACGCCGCGUGUGUGAUGAAGGCUUUCGGGUCGUAAAGCACUGUUGUAUGGGAAGAACAGCUAGAAUAGGGAAUGAUUUUAGUUUGACGGUACCAUACCAGAAAGGGACGGCUAAAUACGUGCCAGCAGCCGCAGUAA
Molecule: ribosomal RNA, 513 nt
Filed under: uncultured bacterium
Lineage: Bacteria
Description: partial 16S ribosomal RNA
Rfam family: Bacterial small subunit ribosomal RNA
Source: RNAcentral